CUCCAGACUCCUACGGGAGGCAGCAGUGGGGAAUAUUGCACAAUGGGGGAAACCCUGAUGCAGCAACGCCGCGUGAGUGAAGAAGUAUUUCGGUAUGUAAAGCUCUAUCAGCAGGGAAGAAAAUGACGGUACCUGAGUAAGAAGCCCCGGCUAACUACGUGCCAGCAGCCGCGGUAAUACGUAGGGGGCAAGCGUUAUCCGGAUUUACUGGGUGUAAAGGGAGCGUAGACGGCGAUACAAGUCUGAAGUGAAAGCCCGGGGCUCAACCCCGGGACUGCUUUGGAAACUGUGUUGCUGGAGUGCUGGAGAGGCAAGCGGAAUUCCUAGUGUAGCGGUGAAAUGCGUAGAUAUUAGGAGGAGCACCAGUGGCGAAGGCGGCUUACUGGACUGUAACUGACGUUGAGGCUCGAAAGCGUGGGGAGCAAACAGGAUUAGAUACCCGAGUAAG
Molecule: ribosomal RNA, 448 nt
Filed under: uncultured bacterium
Lineage: Bacteria
Description: bacterial SSU rRNA
Rfam family: Bacterial small subunit ribosomal RNA
Source: RNAcentral